RNAcentral lists this ribosomal RNA (281 nucleotides) under uncultured Flavobacteriaceae bacterium. RNAcentral describes it as "partial 23S ribosomal RNA". It matches the Rfam family "Bacterial large subunit ribosomal RNA", at positions 1 to 292 of the family's 2925-position model. Lineage: Bacteria; Pseudomonadati; Bacteroidota; Flavobacteriia; Flavobacteriales; Flavobacteriaceae. The record is from RNAcentral.
UAUAGGCUAAUUAAGAGCGUAAGGGGGAUACCUUGGCUCUCAGAGGCGAAGAAGGACGUGAUAAGCUGCGAAAAGUUACGGGGAGUGGCACAUACAUAUUGAUCCGUAAUAUCCGAAUGGGGAAACCCGAUUAUUUGAAGAAUAAUCAUCCAUAUUUAUAUGGAAGCUAACCCGGAGAACUGAAACAUCUAAGUACCCGGAGGAAUAGAAAACAAAAGUGAUUCCGCUAGUAGCGGCGAGCGAACGCGGAUCAGCCCAAACCUAAAUUGUUUCGGCAAUUU